This 75-nucleotide transfer RNA is filed under the name Candidatus Falkowbacteria bacterium RIFOXYA2_FULL_47_19. RNAcentral's name for it is "tRNA-Gly". It matches the Rfam family "tRNA". From Rfam's summary of the family: Transfer RNA (tRNA) molecules are approximately 80 nucleotides in length. The record is from RNAcentral. Lineage: Bacteria; Candidatus Falkowiibacteriota. RNAcentral also lists the same sequence under 2 other names.
GCGGGUAUCGUAUAAUGGCUUUUAUGCUAGCCUUCCAAGCUGGAGAUGAGGGUUCAAUUCCCUCUACCCGCUCAA